RNAcentral lists this unclassified non-coding RNA (578 nucleotides) under Byssocorticium sp. 1827 CG-2012. RNAcentral's name for it is "sequence contains ITS1, 5.8S rRNA gene, ITS2". The stretch from base 215 to 369 matches the Rfam family "5.8S ribosomal RNA". Lineage: Eukaryota; Fungi; Basidiomycota; Agaricomycetes; Atheliales; Atheliaceae. The record is from RNAcentral.
UAUCGAAUUAUAAGCGGAGGUUGCUGCUGGCCCCCCCUGGGGGCAUGUGCACACCCGAGCUCUUAAUCCACUUACACCUGUGAACUCUUUUUGUGGGGAAACCCAUCUCUCCCCCCAGGGGGCAAGAUUGGGAAUCCUCAUGUAUUUUUUCAUAUACCCUUAUGCAAGUCUCGGAAUGUCUUCAUGUUUGCUCUAACGCAAUCUAAUGAUAUACAACUUUCAACAACGGAUCUCUUGGCUCUCGCAUCGAUGAAGAACGCAGCGAAAUGCGAUAAGUAAUGUGAAUUGCAGAUUUUCAGUGAAUCAUCGAAUCUUUGAACGCACCUUGCGCUCCUUGGUAUUCCGAGGAGCAUGCCUGUUUGAGUGUCAUUAAAUUCUCAACUUCACCGAUUUGCUUCGAGUGAAGCUUUGGACUUGGAGUGUGCUGGCACCCCUUCUGGGGAGGGUCGGCUCCUCUUUAAAUGCAGCAGCGGGAGGCAUCUUUGACUUUCCGGCGUCGGUGUGAUAAUCGUGUUGCGCCGUUGGGCCGAGGUCUCAGUCCGCUUACAAUGGUCUCAGGACGAGGAUUGAAACAUUUG